AGGACGAACGCUGGCGGCGUGCCUAAAACAUGCAAGUCGAACGGGGUCCAUCACUUCGGUGAGAAGACCUAGUGGCGAACGGGUGAGUAACACAUGAGCAACCUGCCCCGAAGACAGGGAUAAGCCAGGGAAACUUGGUCUAAUACCUGAUACCUCUACCGAGUCUCAAGACUUGGUAAAGAAAUGAUUUAUCGCUUCGGGAGGGGCUCGUGGCCUAUCAGCUUGUUGGUGGGUAAUGGCCCACCAAGGCUUCGACGGGUAGCUGGU
This 267-nucleotide ribosomal RNA is filed under the name uncultured bacterium. Its description in RNAcentral is "partial small subunit ribosomal RNA". It matches the Rfam family "Bacterial small subunit ribosomal RNA", at positions 26 to 291 of the family's 1533-position model. The record is from RNAcentral.